GCGUUACUGACGCUGAAGCUCGAAGGUGCGGGUAUCGAACAGGAUUAGAUACCCUGGUAGUCCGCACGGUAAACGAUGGAUGCCCGCUGUCCGCUAUUUAAGUGGGUGGCCAAGCGAAAGCGUUAAGCAUCCCACCUGGGGAGUACGCCGGCAACGGUGAAACUCAAAGGAAUUGACGGGGGCCCGCACAAGCGGAGGAACAUGUGGUUUAAUUCGAUGAUACGCGAGGAACCUUACCCGGGCUUGAAUUGCAGAGGAAUGCGGGAGAGAUCCUGCAGCCCUUCGGGGCCUCUGUGAAGGUGCUGCAUGGUUGUCGUCAGCUCGUGCCGUGAGGUGUCGGCUUAAGUGCCAUAACGAGCGCAACCCCUCUCCGUAGUUGCCAUCGGGUGAUGCCGGGCACUCUGCGGACACUGCCACCGCAAGGUGCGAGGAAGGUGGGGACGACGUCAAAUCAGCACGGCCCUUACGUCCGGGGCUACACACGUGUUACAAUGGGGCAUACAGAGAGCAUGGGCGCCGGCGACGUCGCCCGAAUCAUUAAAGUGCCCCUCAGUUCGGAUUGGGGUCUGCAACCCGACCCCAUGAAGCUGGAUUCGCUAG
This 600-nucleotide ribosomal RNA is filed under the name uncultured bacterium. RNAcentral's name for it is "bacterial SSU rRNA". It matches the Rfam family "Bacterial small subunit ribosomal RNA", at positions 734 to 1338 of the family's 1533-position model. The record is from RNAcentral.